Aedes aegypti (yellow fever mosquito) is the source of this 187-nucleotide long non-coding RNA. RefSeq lists it as uncharacterized. The transcript is spliced from 3 exons. Lineage: Eukaryota; Metazoa; Arthropoda; Insecta; Diptera; Culicidae. The record is from RefSeq and is a predicted model, not a curated record.
GCAAUUAAAGAAACAGUGGAAUUGGUUGCAUGUGUGAUCAUCAAAUUGCUACUGAAUACCUUAACGGUACGGAAGAUAUUGUCCGGUUUGUUGUGUCUGGUACAAGUAUUUUCAUGCAUAUUCACAAUCUGUGAUGCGAUGCUUUUGGUAGCUCUGACUGAUUGGUAUGCAGCUGUUUGCUUUUUGA